Molecule: ribosomal RNA, 484 nt
Filed under: uncultured bacterium
Lineage: Bacteria
Description: partial 16S ribosomal RNA
Rfam family: Bacterial small subunit ribosomal RNA
Source: RNAcentral
AUUGAACGCUGGCGGCAUGCUUUACACAUGCAAGUCGAACGGCAGCGCGGGCUUCGGCCUGGCGGCGAGUGGCGAACGGGUGAGUAAUGCAUCGGAACGUGCCCAGUAGUGGGGGAUAGCCCGGCGAAAGCCGGAUUAAUACCGCAUACGACCUGAGGGUGAAAGCGGGGGACCGAAAGGCCUCGCGCUAUUGGAGCGGCCGAUGUCGGAUUAGCUAGUUGGUGGGGUAAAGGCUUACCAAGGCGACGAUCCGUAGCUGGUCUGAGAGGACGACCAGCCACACUGGGACUGAGACACGGCCCAGACUCCUACGGGAGGCAGCAGUGGGGAAUUUUGGACAAUGGGGGCAAGCCUGAUCCAGCCAUGCCGCGUGCGGGAAGAAGGCCUUCGGGUUGUAAACCGCUUUUGUUCGGGAAGAAAUCAUCUGGGCUAAUCCCCCGGGGGGAUGACGGUACCGGAAGAAUAAGCACCGGCUAACUACGUG